CGAUCAGUAGCCGACCUGAGAGGGUGAUCGGCCACAUUGGAACUGAGACACGGUCCAAACUCCUACGGGAGGCAGCAGUGGGGAAUAUUGCACAAUGGGCGAAAGCCUGAUGCAGCAACGCCGCGUGCGUGAUGAAGGCCUUCGGGUCGUAAAACUCUGUCCUCAAGGAAGAUAAUGACGGUACUUGAGGAGGAAGCCCCGGCUAACUACGUGCCAGCAGCCGCGGUAA
Molecule: ribosomal RNA, 229 nt
Filed under: Clostridioides difficile
Lineage: Bacteria; Bacillati; Bacillota; Clostridia; Peptostreptococcales; Peptostreptococcaceae
Description: partial 16S ribosomal RNA
Rfam family: Bacterial small subunit ribosomal RNA
Source: RNAcentral